UACGUAGGGCGCAAGCGUUGUCCGGAAUUAUUGGGCGUAAAGAGCUCGUAGGUGGUUUGUCGCGUCUGCUGUGAAAACCCGAGGCUCAACCUCGGGCCUGCAGUGGGUACGGGCAGACUAGAGUGCGGUAGGGGGAGAUUGGAAUUCCUGGUGUAGCGGUGGAAUGCGCAGAUAUCAGGAGGAACACCAAUGGCGAAGGCAGAUCUCUGGGCCGUAACUGACGCUGAGGAGCGAAAGCAUGGGGGAGCGAACAGG
Molecule: ribosomal RNA, 255 nt
Filed under: uncultured bacterium
Lineage: Bacteria
Description: partial 16S ribosomal RNA
Rfam family: Bacterial small subunit ribosomal RNA
Source: RNAcentral